AACGAACGCUGGCGGCAUGCCUAACACAUGCAAGUCGAACGAGACCUUCGGGUCUAGUGGCGCACGGGUGCGUAACGCGUGGGAACCUGCCCUUAGGUUCGGAAUAACUCCCCGAAAGGGGUGCUAAUACCGGAUAAUGUCUUCGGACCAAAGAUUUAUCGCCUUUGGAUGGGCCCGCGUUGGAUUAGCUAGUUGGUAGGGUAAAAGCCUACCAAGGCGACGAUCCAUAGCUGGUCUGAGAGGAUGAUCAGCCACACUGGGACUGAGACACGGCCCAGACUCCUACGGGAGGCAGCAGUGGGGAAUAUUGGACAAUGGGCGAAAGCCUGAUCCAGCAAGGCCGCGUGAGUGAUGAAGGCCUUAGGGUUGUAAAGCUCUUUUACCCGGGAUGAUAAUGACAGUACCGGGAGAAUAAGCACCGGCUAACUCCGU
RNAcentral lists this ribosomal RNA (432 nucleotides) under uncultured bacterium. RNAcentral describes it as "partial 16S ribosomal RNA". It matches the Rfam family "Bacterial small subunit ribosomal RNA", at positions 29 to 506 of the family's 1533-position model. The record is from RNAcentral.